RNAcentral lists this ribosomal RNA (253 nucleotides) under uncultured bacterium. RNAcentral describes it as "partial 16S ribosomal RNA". It matches the Rfam family "Bacterial small subunit ribosomal RNA", at positions 524 to 776 of the family's 1533-position model. The record is from RNAcentral.
UACAGAGGUCUCAAGCGUUGUUCGGAUUUAUUGGGCGUAAAGGGUGCGUAGGCGGUAUGGCAAGUCAAGUGUGAAAUCUCGGAGCUCAACUUCGAAACUGCACUUGAUACUACUAUGCUAGAGGGUUGUAGAGGAGACCGGAAUUCACGGUGUAGCAGUGAAAUGCGUAGAUAUCGUGAGGAAGACCAGUUGCGAAAGCGGGUCUCUGGGCAAUUCCUGACGCUGAGGCACGAAGGCUAGGGGAGCAAACGGG